Molecule: transfer RNA, 61 nt
Filed under: Loxodonta africana (African savanna elephant)
Lineage: Eukaryota; Metazoa; Chordata; Mammalia; Proboscidea; Elephantidae
Rfam family: tRNA
About the family: Transfer RNA (tRNA) molecules are approximately 80 nucleotides in length. Their secondary structure includes four short double-helical elements and three loops (D, anti-codon, and T loops). Further hydrogen bonds mediate the characteristic L-shaped molecular structure. tRNAs have two regions of fundamental functional importance: the anti-codon, which is responsible for specific mRNA codon recognition, and the 3' end, to which the tRNAs corresponding amino acid is attached (by aminoacyl-tRNA synthetases). tRNAs cope with the degeneracy of the genetic code in two manners: having more than one tRNA (with a specific anti-codon) for a particular amino acid; and 'wobble' base-pairing, i.e. permitting non-standard base-pairing at the 3rd anti-codon position.
Source: Rfam by way of RNAcentral
AGUGGUUAAGUCUGUUUGGCUGUUAACCAAAAGAUUGGUAGUUCAAAUCCACCAGCCACUC